UACGUAGGGGGCAAGCGUUGUCCGGAAUCAUUGGGCGUAAAGCGCGUGUAGGCGGCUCGGUAAGUCCGCUCUGAAAGUCCAGGGCUCAACCCUGGGAUGCGGGUGGAUACUGCCGGGCUCGAGUCCGGAAGAGGCGAGUGGAAUUCCCAGUGUAGCGGUGAAAUGCGUAGAUAUUGGGAGGAACACCGGUGGCGAAGGCGGCCCCCUGGACCGGUACUGACGCUGAUGCGCGAAAGCGUGGGUAGCAAACGGG
This 253-nucleotide ribosomal RNA is filed under the name uncultured bacterium. RNAcentral describes it as "partial 16S ribosomal RNA". It matches the Rfam family "Bacterial small subunit ribosomal RNA", at positions 524 to 776 of the family's 1533-position model. The record is from RNAcentral.